This 67-nucleotide transfer RNA is filed under the name Spicara maena (blotched picarel). RNAcentral's name for it is "tRNA-Ser(AGY)". Lineage: Eukaryota; Metazoa; Chordata; Actinopteri; Spariformes; Centracanthidae. The record is from RNAcentral.
AAGGUAGGCUCGCAAGCACCGAGAACUGCUAAUCCUCGGCCCCCUGGUUGAACCCCAAGGCUAACUC